RNAcentral lists this ribosomal RNA (438 nucleotides) under uncultured bacterium. RNAcentral's name for it is "partial 16S ribosomal RNA". It matches the Rfam family "Bacterial small subunit ribosomal RNA", at positions 339 to 795 of the family's 1533-position model. The record is from RNAcentral.
CUACGGGUUGCAGCAGUGAGGAAUAUUGCACAAUGGGGGGAACCCUGAUGCAGCAACGCCGCGUGGAGGAUGACGCAUUUCGGUGUGUAAACUCCUUUUAUAUGUCAAGAAAAUGACGGUAGCAUAUGAAUAACCACCGGCUAACUCCGUGCCAGCAGCCGCGGUAAUACGGAGGGUGCAAGCGUUACUCGGAAUCACUGGGCGUAAGGACGCGUAGGCGGGUUGGAAAGUCAGGUGUGAAAUCCUACAGCUUAACUGUAGAACUGCACUUGAAACUUCUAAUCUAGAGUAUGGGAGGGGGAGAUGGAAUUAGUGGUGUAGGGGUAAAAUCCGUAGAUAUCACUAGGAAUACCUAAAGCGAAGGCGAUCUCCUGGAACAUUACUGACGCUAAGGCGUGAAAGCGUGGGGAGCAAACAGGAUUAGAUACCCUCGUAGUC